GGAAAGGUGGCAGAGCGGUUGAAUGCAUUAGUUUUGAAAACUGACGUAGCUCCAACUACCGGGGGUUCGAAUCCCCCCCUUUCCU
RNAcentral lists this transfer RNA (85 nucleotides) under Boodleopsis pusilla. Its description in RNAcentral is "tRNA-Ser". It matches the Rfam family "tRNA". Rfam says of the family: Transfer RNA (tRNA) molecules are approximately 80 nucleotides in length. The record is from RNAcentral. Lineage: Eukaryota; Viridiplantae; Chlorophyta; Ulvophyceae; Bryopsidales; Halimedaceae. RNAcentral also lists the same sequence under 1 other name.